UGUGUCUGCCAUCCUGAACCCACCUCCCACCUCUCCUGAUGGUCCUGCCUCUCACACCCUGGGGAGCUGAGCACAGCGGGAGCCAUGGGAACGGAGAGGUUCACAGAAACAAUUCUGAGACUCUGUGAUGGCAACGUCAGCACAUUAGGACGAAGACUGAGACGAUAAUCUGAAAAAAGGAAUGAAUCAAAGUUUCACAUUCCUGUAACUGGUUUAUUUGAAGCUUACCUGUCACACAGAGAACAAGCCAUAACAAUGUGAAUAUCGGUGAGUUCAGCUUCAUAGGGAAAGACUGUAAUAAGCUCAAUCUUUAUGCACUAAUUUGGAACCAAUUUACUAGAUAUAUUAAGCAAAUAACAUGCAGAGCAGUAUGUGGUUUCCCGCUAUUUGUCUUAGAAGAAGGGACAGAAUAUAGGUGUGUUACUUUCACUUAACGUUUGCGUGUACUCUACACGAACACAUACAUAUAUGACAUACACUUGCUUAUAUAAUCCUAUGCUACUUUUGGAAACACACAACUGACACGGAGGUCACUGGUGGUCUGAGGAGGGAUGUGAGUGGUCUUGGGGCAGGGAUGGGAGGGAGACUUCACUACACGAUUUUACACUUCUUUGCUUAGAACCAUAUGCAAUUAUUGGGAAAGACUGAAGGCAAAAGGAGAAGGGGGUGGCAGAGGAUGAGAUGGUGAGAUAGCAUCACCGACUCAAGGGAUGCGAAUCUGAGUAAACUCCGGGAGAGAGUGAAGGAUGGAGGAACCUGGCAUGCUACAGUCCACUGGGUCACAAAGAGUUGGACGCGACUUAAAGACUGAACAACAGCAGUGUGCAAUUACUGUGUACUGAGAAAUAAAUUAAGAUUCAAGAGCAAA
This is a long non-coding RNA of Capra hircus (goat), 868 nucleotides long. RefSeq lists it as uncharacterized. The record is from RefSeq and is a predicted model, not a curated record. The transcript is spliced from 2 exons. NCBI's taxonomy places the organism in Eukaryota, Metazoa, Chordata, Mammalia, Artiodactyla, Bovidae.